AUCCUUUGGGAAACAAUGAGUCUGAGCUAUCAGCGGGCAGAUGUGGGAAUGGAUGUGAAAAUUUGAGGUCCCCCUUACGGGGGUGCUACUGGACAUCAUAGGAAUAAGUGAGUCACCCAGACAGAGGGUGAAGAGUCAGAAGGGAAGACAACGACGCUGUCAACCUUCAAGGUGGAACAUGCAUGCAAAGGUUUAGAAACACUGCAAACAAGGCUACCUGCUGUCGUUCCUGGCCAAAGGAAACAGAACGGAAGAGCCUCUGUUCCCCAGAAGUGGUCACUUAGGGUUGCCCUGAUCUGGGAAGGUUCUGUGCAGAGGUGGCCUCGUGAGGUGCGCUGUGGCACAUAGACCU
RNAcentral lists this long non-coding RNA (352 nucleotides) under Homo sapiens (human). RNAcentral's name for it is "HSALNT0100879". The record is from RNAcentral. Lineage: Eukaryota; Metazoa; Chordata; Mammalia; Primates; Hominidae.